CCUUGACAUACUAAGAACCUUCCAGAGAUGGAUUGGUGCCUUCGGGAACUUAGAUACAGGUGCUGCAUGGCUGUCGUCAGCUCGUGUCGUGAGAUGUUGGGUUAAGUCCCGNAACGAGCGCAACCCUUUUCCUUAUUUGCCAGCGGGUCAUGCCGGGAACUUUAAGGAUACUGCCAGUGACAAACUGGAGGAAGGCGGGGACGACGUCAAGUCAUCAUGGCCCUUACGGCCAGGGCUACACACGUGCUACAAUGGUCGGUACAAAGGGUUGCUACCUCGCGAGAGGAUGCUAAUCUCAAAAAGCCGAUCGUAGUCCGGAUCGCAGUCUGCAACUCGACUGCGUGAAGUCGGAAUCGCUAGUAAUCGCGGAUCAGAAUGCCGCGGUGAAUACGUUCCCGGGCCUUGUACACACCGCCCGUCACACCAUGGGAGUUUGUUGCACCAGAAGUAGGUAGUCUAACCGCAAGGAGGACGCUUACCACGGUGUGGCCGAUGACUGGGGUGAAGUCGUAACAAGGUAAGCGUAGAUGA
This 531-nucleotide ribosomal RNA is filed under the name uncultured bacterium. Its description in RNAcentral is "bacterial SSU rRNA". It matches the Rfam family "Bacterial small subunit ribosomal RNA", at positions 979 to 1509 of the family's 1533-position model. The record is from RNAcentral.